Molecule: ribosomal RNA, 682 nt
Filed under: Nesterenkonia sandarakina
Lineage: Bacteria; Bacillati; Actinomycetota; Actinomycetes; Micrococcales; Micrococcaceae
Description: bacterial SSU rRNA
Rfam family: Bacterial small subunit ribosomal RNA
Source: RNAcentral
AUGCAGUCGACGAUGAAGACCGUGCUUGCACGGUUGGAUUAGUGGCGAACGGGUGAGUAUCACGUGAGUAACCUUCCCUUAACUCUGGGAUAAGCCCGGGAAACUGGGUCUAAUACCGGAUACGACCAGUCCUCGCAUGGGGUGCUGGUGGAAAGAUUUAUCGGUUUUGGAUGGACUCGCGGCCUAUCAGCUUGUUGGUGAGGUAAAGGCUCACCAAGGCGAUGACGGGUAGCCGGCCUGAGAGGGUGACCGGCCACACUGGGACUGAGACACGGCCCAGACUCCUACGGGAGGCAGCAGUGGGGAAUAUUGCACAAUGGGCGAAAGCCUGAUGCAGCGACGCCGCGUGCGGGAUGACGGCCUUCGGGUUGUAAACCGCUUUCAGCAGGGAAGAAGCGAAAGUGACGGUACCUGCAGAAGAAGCGCCGGCUAACUACGUGCCAGCAGCCGCGGUAAUACGUAGGGCGCGAGCGUUAUCCGGAAUUAUUGGGCGUAAAGAGCUCGUAGGCGGUUUGUCACGUCUGCUGUGAAAGCCCGGGGCUCAACCCCGGGUGUGCAGUGGGUACGGGCAGACUAGAGUGCAGUAGGGGAGACUGGAAUUCCUGGUGUAGCGGUGAAAUGCGCAGAUAUCAGGAGGAACACCGAUGGCGAAGGCAGGUCUCUGGGCUGUUACUGACGCUGA